AUUGAACGCUGGCGGCAUGCUUUACACAUGCAAGUCGAACGGCAGCGCGGGCUUCGGCCUGGCGGCGAGUGGCGAACGGGUGAGUAAUACAUCGGAACGUGCCCAGUAGUGGGGGAUAGCUCGGCGAAAGCCGGAUUAAUACCGCAUACGACCUGAGGGUGAAAGCGGGGGAUCUUCGGACCUCGCGCUAUUGGAGCGGCCGAUGGCAGAGUAGCUAGUUGGUGGGGUAAAGGCCUACCAAGGCGACGAUCUGUAGCUGGUCUGAGAGGACGACCAGCCACACUGGGACUGAGACACGGCCCAGGCUCCUACGGGAGGCAGCAGUGGGGAAUUUUGGACAAUGGGCGAAAGCCUGAUCCAGCAAUGCCGCGUGUGUGAUGAAGGCCUUCGGGUUGUAAAGCACUUUUGGCGGGAACGAAAAGGACUGUGCCAAUACCACGGUUCGAUGACGGUACCCGCAGAAUAAGCACCGGCUAACUACGUG
This 484-nucleotide ribosomal RNA is filed under the name uncultured bacterium. Its description in RNAcentral is "partial 16S ribosomal RNA". It matches the Rfam family "Bacterial small subunit ribosomal RNA", at positions 29 to 507 of the family's 1533-position model. The record is from RNAcentral.